GUAGGUGAACCUGCGGAAGGAUCAUUACCGAGAUUUUUUUCCUGCUUACAGGGAAUCUCCCCACCCUUUUGUGUAUUUGAAAUUUUCAAUACUUUGGUAAAGCGCUUGUUAAGCAUACGUGUUAAGCAACCAGUGACUUCUCUUUUCCUAUUUUAAAAAAAAUAAUAAUGGAGAAAAGUGGCUGUGUCUUUGCCAAAGGAACCCUUCUACUCUUAUUUUAUAUUUUUUUUUGUCUGAGUUUAUAAUUUUUAAAAUAAAACAAAAACUUUCAACAACGGAUCUCUUGGUUCUG
Molecule: unclassified non-coding RNA, 292 nt
Filed under: rhizosphere metagenome
Description: partial ribosomal RNA internal transcribed spacer region
Source: RNAcentral